This is a long non-coding RNA of Liolophura sinensis, 334 nucleotides long. RefSeq lists it as uncharacterized. The transcript has 3 exons. The record is from RefSeq and is a predicted model, not a curated record. Lineage: Eukaryota; Metazoa; Mollusca; Polyplacophora; Chitonida; Chitonidae.
CUUGACUGGUUCUCUCCCCCUGCCGUCAGAUGGCACUGUUCAGUUGUUACGUCAGAUGCAUACGCAGUGUAUGAAGAUGGACAGGUGACGUCACAAUUGAUCUGUAGACCAUCAGCGUGACUGGGCAGCAGACAGUUCCUGUCAGAUUGCAGCGGUCUGGACUUCACUUGCGCCAUGGAUGAAAUCUUCGCAGAGACAUCCAAAGAGACGGUGAAGGAGCUUUCCCUGCUGUCUUUAUCAGGGGCUUCCGCAGAUCCGGUGACUAAUGACGUAUCCCACAGUUCCUCUGCCUGUAGCAGCGACAUGGACUUCUUCGAUUCCUGGUACUACGACG